AUUGAACGCUAGCGGGAUGCCUUACACAUGCAAGUCGAACGGCAGCAUAAGAGAGCUUGCUCUCUUGAUGGCGAGUGGCGAACGGGUGAGUAAUGUAUCGGAACGUGCCCAGCAGCGGGGGAUAACUACGCGAAAGCGUAGCUAAUACCCCAUAUGAGCGUACCUGAAAUGGUAUUCUUGAAAACUCCGGUGCUCUAGGAUGAGUCUGCAUCUGAUUAGCUAGUUGGGGGUGUAAUGGACCACCAAGGCGACGAUCAGUAGCUGGUUUGAGAGGAUGAUCAGCCACAAUGGGACUGAGACACGGCCCAU
This 309-nucleotide ribosomal RNA is filed under the name uncultured bacterium. RNAcentral's name for it is "bacterial SSU rRNA". It matches the Rfam family "Bacterial small subunit ribosomal RNA", at positions 30 to 334 of the family's 1533-position model. The record is from RNAcentral.